Molecule: ribosomal RNA, 512 nt
Filed under: uncultured bacterium
Lineage: Bacteria
Description: bacterial SSU rRNA
Rfam family: Bacterial small subunit ribosomal RNA
Source: RNAcentral
GAUGAACGCUAGCGACAGGCUUAACACAUGCAAGUCGAGGGGCAGCAAGAAUUGUAGCAAUACAAUUUGUUGGCGACCGGCGCACGGGUGAGUAACGCGUAUGCAACCUACCUAUCAGAGGGGGAUAGCCCGGUGAAAGCCGGAUUAAUACCGCAUAAAACAGGGGUCCCGCAUGGGAAUAUUUGUUAAAGAUUAAUUGCUGAUAGAUGGGCAUGCGUUCCAUUAGUUAGUUGGUGUAGGUAACGGCUCACCAAGACAUCGAUGGAUAGGGGUUCUGAGAGGAAGGUCCCCCACACUGGUACUGAGACACGGACCAGACUCCUACGGGAGGCAGCAGUGAGGAAUAUUGGUCAAUGGGCGAGAGCCUGAACCAGCCAAGUAGCGUGAAGGAUGACUGCCCUAUGGGUUGUAAACUUCUUUUAUAUGGGAAUAAAUGACAUUACGUGUAGUGUUUUGUAUGUACCAUUAUGAAUAAGCAUCGGCUAACUCCGUGCCAGCAGCCGCCGUAACAC